GAUGAACGCUGGCGGCGUGCCUAAUACAUGCAAGUCGAGCGAACAGACGAGGAGCUUGCUCCUCUGACGUUAGCGGCGGACGGGUGAGUAACACGUGGAUAAUCUACCUAUAAGACUGGGAUAACUUCGGGAAACCGGAGCUAAUACCGGAUAAUAUAUUGAACCGCAUGGUUCAAUAGUGAAAGACGGUUUUGCUGUCACUUAUAGAUGGAUCCGCGCCGCAUUAGCUAGUUGGUAAGGUAACGGCUUACCAAGGCAACGAUGCGUAGCCGACCUGAGAGGGUGACCGGCCACACUGGAACUGAGACACGGUCCAGACGCAUACGGGAGGCAGCAGUAGGGAAUCUUCCGCAAUGGGCGAAAGCUUGACGGAGCAACGCCGCGUGAGUGAUGAAGGUCUUCGGAGCGUAAAACUCUGUUAUUAGGGAAGAACAAAUGUGUAAGUAACUAUGCACGUCUUGACGGUACCGAAUCAGAAAGCCACGGCUAACUACGU
RNAcentral lists this ribosomal RNA (496 nucleotides) under uncultured bacterium. Its description in RNAcentral is "partial 16S ribosomal RNA". It matches the Rfam family "Bacterial small subunit ribosomal RNA", at positions 28 to 506 of the family's 1533-position model. The record is from RNAcentral.